CACCCGAAGCAUGUGGAAGUUGCCAGGCUAGGGGUCAAAUCGGAGCUACAGCUGCCAGGCUACACCCCAGCCACAGCCACGCAGGAUCCGAGCUACUUCGACCUACACCACAGCUCACGGCAACACCAGAUCCUUAACCCACUAAGUGAGGCCAGGGAUCGAACCCGCAUCCUCAUGGUUACUAGUCAGAUUCUUUUCCACUGUGCCACAAUGGGAACUCCAUGAAAAGUUUUAAUAGGCCUCAGUUUAUCUUUCAACCCACACCUUAGCACUAGCUGACAUGUCUGUCACUCAUGACUUAUUUUAAAAGACAACUUCUAAUAUUACUAGCAGCAAACCUUCUCACCCUCCCCCAAACCCCACUACUCACAAUUCACCUGAACCCCCCACUUAGAACAAUGUUCCUGGCAGGACCUCUGAGGCCUCCACCCUCCCCACACAAACGCACACCUGCCCAUUUCUUCCUCUACUGUCCCCGAGAUGAGACUCCCGAAAGGAUGUCGUCAUUAGAAUCUAGCUCUCCCCUUCCUUUCAGAUAACAUCAGCACACGUCCAGUCAUGUUCACAUUCCUCCGUCACCACGAGAAGGACAAGCUCCUAGAACAUUCUUCCCCACAGAUCUUUAACUCUGGAAAGCUUUCCAAAUCUAAGCAAAUUGAUUUUCCAGACUUUCCCCACCCCCACCCCCUUCACUGUGCUCAGUGGACCACAAACUCUGUCCGAAGAAGAGCCCUUUGUACCCUCACCCUCUUUUCAUCCCUUUACAUGUUACUCCAGCUCAGAAUAGAAGGAAGGUCUUUUCUGAUUGUGUCUGUUUCUCAGAGAAGUGACAUGGACUGAGAGAGAGAAAGGCUGAGGGCUUUUUCCUGUUUUGAGAAGAGAGAAGAAUGCACGAGAUCGUUAUUGCAGGGGAGUGAAAGGGAACGUUCACUUUAUCUUUCUGUUUUAAUUAAAAUCUGAUUUUCCAUGAGAGAACCGCUGCCGCUGCAGCACUAUUAAAUAUGAGCUUUUCUUUUCCUCCUCCAUCCGCCAUCCUACGGAGCCAGGGGGUGCGCUGGGUGUCCCCUGGGAGUCUCACAGCCAUUUUUAAACAGUUGUCUAAUUUCCCUCUUUAAAAACCUGAGCUUUUUGGUAGCACAUGCCAGGAGAUUAUACUACUUUCUACUCCUUCUUAUUAGCUGUGGUCCCUUCUACCCAAAAAUCUCAUUUACUGAAGUGGUACCUUUCUCUCCAUCAUGGCGUCUAUUGACAUUCUCAGUAAUGUCAACAUCCACUUGUUGAAAUAAAUUUCUAGCCCCAAGAUGGAUCCAAUCCUGCCUGAGUUGCCAUAUCAACAAGCGGAAACUUAGAUGACUUUCAUGUCCUUGUAAAGCUCUGCUUGAUCAGAAACUCAGUAUAUCCAGUCAGCUAAUCUGCAAAACCCAAGUCUGGCUCUCUACUUAACUUCCUGGUUCCUUUUCACCCAAAGUUGACUCUGUGACUCCAACCAAUCAGAUAGCUUUUAUUUCCCCCUCUUUGGUCUUUAUUCUUCAUCUUACAAAAACUUCCUGCCUUUCACCUAUUUUGCUGUUCCCCCCAUGAAGACCUUCCAAUUCAUGAAGUUUGUAUCAUCUAAAUUGUCUUCUUUCAUCAGUUUUAAACACAUAUCACCAUGCCUCUCAGUUGCUUGGGCCUUUUGCCUUCAAAAAUCUUUUAUUCACCCUUAACCAGUAAUAAUACCAUUUUCCAAAUCUGACCAACCACUUCUUAUCUUUCUAGAAUAUACAUCCCAAUACAUCUUGGAUUUCAUCUGGAUUUCUGAUUUACUGAUGGCAUUAAACAUAUUGAUUUAAACUGAUGUCACCUCUUUCCUAUCUUCAUGUCUCUCUUCAUUCAGCUUAGAUGUAUGGCCCAUCGUUAAAAUUAUUUCUGUGCAUCUAUCAUCAACUUUCUUAUCUUUCUCUCCCCACUGCCUGACAAAAUUCCAAUCUUGAUGAAGUCCAGUGUUUUCACUAUCUCAGAUCUGUAUCUAGGAGCUUCAAUGUGGUUCAAGGAAAAUGCACAAUUGUGCUGACUGAUGUCACUUUAAAGGCAUGACCGUAUUCUUAAGUGUGGAGGCCCUUGGCAUUGCUUGGAAAUUGCACGUGAGGUUUUUCACCACCUCUCUAUUCUCUGAGAUCACUCUCUCAUGUUUUUUUCAUUCUCCUUAACUGCAAACACCCCCUCAACCAACUUUAGCUUAAGGAUAAGACUUCUUAUUUUACUAAGAGAAUAGGCACAAUCAGAAGAAACUAUCCUCGUAUCAUCAAAUCCUUUGUUGAGUACACGUCUUUUCAUGUACAGUCCAUAUACUAAUAUGUAUUGCCCUCACUUGUGAAUUCAGUGAUGCAAAUGGAGUUUUGAUUUUUUUUUGUUGUUGUUCUGUUUUGGGCCAUACCCACAGCAUAUGGAAGUUCCUGGGGUAAAGGUCAAAUUGGAGCUGUAGCUGCCAGCCUACGCUGUAGCCACAGCAAGCCAGAUCCUUAACCUACUGAGUGAGGACAGGGAUCGAACCCACAGUGGAUUCGUUUCUGCUGAGCCACAAUGGGAAAUACCUGAUUUCUUAAUGAAAUGUUUCCAAAAGAUUUUAAAGGCUAUAAGUCAAUUAUUUUAUAGAAUGUUUCUCAACUUGAGUUUGUCAGAUAUUUUCUUAUGCCAAGAUUCAGGCUAUGAACUUCUGGCCAGAACACUAUACCCACAAAGUUGUAUCAUCCUUAAAGUAACACCCAAAGGUGCAAGAUGUCCAUUGUCCCUCUGUGGUAAUAUUAAUUUUUACCUCCUCAUCAAGAUGUUGUCUGGCUUCUCCACUGUGUAGUUACUAUUUUUCUCCUUAUCACUAACAAGAAAUCUAGAAAUCUAGAGGUAGACACUUUGAGAGGAUGCAAAUAGUCUGUUCCUCAGCAACCUUCUCUUCACCCCCAGAUUUAGCAUCAGGUGAUGAUUCUUGUCCUAAACUUUUCUUAUGAUGGGUUUAAAGUGAUGAUUUUUUUUUUCUAGCUCCACAACUUCUUUCUAUAUUAUAUUUUGGCAUAUUUUCUAUUAGCAAGAAACUCAACUCCUUCUUCAUUAUCUCAAUCUAUCUAUCAUCAUCAUCAUCAAUCUAUUUGUCUAUCAUCCAUUUGCCUAUCAUCAGUCUAUUAAUCUAUUAUCUAUCUUUAUAUCUAUCUAUCUAUCUAUCUAUCACCUACAUACCUACCUAUCUACCUACCAUUAGGGACUCUAUAAUGUACUUCAAAUCUCAAUUCUCUUCAUCACAUUGACGUCUCUUGCUUUCCUUUUAUUGGCAUUUGAUUUUGAUAGCUUUGCCAGGCCUUUUUUCUUAUUUUCUUUUUGAAAUCACUUGCUUUGGUUUAUAUUGAAGUUCUGAAAAGUAAUAGGAAUGUCAGAUGACCAAAAAAUUGUCUUCACACAGAUGGUUUUUAAAAAGAAUUGUCAUUAAGCAGGACACAGUUCAUGCAGCAAACAUGGCAGGAAUAAAGAACUAUUUCCAAAGGUCACUGUCUAACAAAGGGUCAGGUGUGGCAUAUUCCCUUUUCUUGGUGCUCUCCUCCCAGUGAUCAUGUUCACUGUAGGGGUCCCCACUGACUGCUCCUAUCAAGGGAUAAGAUGACCUUGACUAAAUUAUUUCCUAUUCAUUUAUGUGGCCUCCAGGCUGUAAGACUCUACAAUAACUUGAGUGGUUAUUCAAUUAUCAUAAGGGUAAUUAAUUAAUGUGGGUAAAAUUAUUUUCUGUUUCCAUAGAUGAAAGAAUUUUGCAAAGCAUUCAGUACUACUCUGUGUUGUUCCCUGAUCCUUUAAGUAAAAGCUUAAUUAGUGACUUUGAGAAGGAAAUGAGACAUAAUCAAGCAAAUUAUGUUUUCAAAAGCCUAGUUUUUUUUCUCAGUAUAAAUGCUUCCACCAUAAGGUUUAUUAUGGUUUUUGCAUUAUUCAGUUCCCAGAACAACACAUUCACUGAAAAGGCAACACUGUGAUCUGCCAGUAUAAAUAAUGCCAUGAAAGUAAAGUUUUUAAAAACAUGUUUCCGUGCAUGAAAUAUAAACAUCAAACCCAAGAAAAUACAAGACAUAACAUUAAGAUAUUUUGUAUUUUCUAGUCUAAUUUUAUAAAAAAUAUUUUAAAAUGGUUUUAAAAUUAAUUUUAACUAUUUUUUUUUGAUCAAGCAGAAAUGUAUCUGGACUAUUAUCUACGGAGUGCUUCUCCUUGCCUUCUCUUGGAUUAAUGUCUGUGGGACUCUGCUCUUUUCUCUUGGGUUAUGGAUUGGCCAGGAGAAAUGGGAAGACGUGAAGAAUAAAAACUAAUUUCCCUGAUUUUUAUCCUUGUACUAUAGUCUUAAGGUUGUUACACUAACCCCAACAAUAUUCUUAGUAAGUUGGGAAGAUUUAAAAUUGAGAAUUGCUUUUGUGGUGAAUAAAAGCUAUCUAUUCCCAAGUAGAAUUUAAUGUCUCUAUUCCAGGGUAGAAUUUAAGGGAAAUGUAAGGUCUCGAUAUAGUUAAAUCAGAUUUUGUCAUGAUAUUCUUCAUUGGUUCAGCCGUAUCUAUUGAACCGUUUACCAGUUCCUUCUUGAAUGCUAGGAUUGAGUGGUGAACAAAAUUGACAACGAUCACUGUCUCAUGGAGCUCAUGUUCUAGAAAGAAGGGAUGGACAAUAAAUAAUAAACAUAACAAUUAGGUGCACUAUGUGGAAUCUUAGAAGAUUAAAAGAAGCACUCUGUAUGAAAAGCAGAGGAAGGAGGAUUGGAGUGCUCUGGGGAGAAAGGCCUCAUUCAGAAAGUGACCUUGGAUAAAAACUUAAGUAAGGGAGUUAGUGUUCUAGGCAAACCCUAAGAUGGGAGUGUGCCAUGUGUUCAGAGAACAGCAAGGAGGAAAGUGUGAGUGGAGCCUGAGAAUGACAAGAGCCAGAGUAGAAAAAGAAAUAAAACGAGGAGCCAGUUCAUGCAUUGCCUUUGGGGCCCUGGUAAAUACUUUGUCUUUUACUUUGGAUAAAAUGAGAAACCACUGGUGUUGACUCUUCCUUUGGGAGAACCAGGGAGCCACUGGAAGAUUCUGAGCAGAGGAGUGAGUGAUGUGAUUUGACACUGAAUCGCCUUCAAUGGGUUCAGUCUGCUACAGUGUUUAGAAUAGACCCCAGGGGGGCACAAGUGGAAGCUGGGAGAGCAGUUAUGAUGUUAUCACAGUCAUGAUGGUGAGGGCCGAUGGUGACUCCCACAGAGAAGGAACAGUAAGAAAUAAUCAGAUACUACAUAGAUUUUGAAUAUGGCUCUGGGAAGUCUUCCUGGUGGAUUGCGUGUAGAUGUCAGGGAAAGAGCAGAGUCCCGGAUGACGCCAAGGUCUUUGGUCUAAGACUCCGGAAGGCUGGAGAUGCCAUCAACUGAGAUGAUAAAGGGUGGUGGAAGAGGCUUUGAGGGGAUGAUCAGAGAGGUACAACCUGAGACAUAUUAAGUUUGAGGUAUCUGUUAGACAUACAAGUGGAGAUGUUCAAUAUAGGCAGUGAAAUUGAAUGAAUCUGAAAUUCAGGAAAGAAGCUUGGAAGGGAGGUAUAGAACUUUGGGGGGCAUUUAGCAUAUAAAUGGUACUAAAUAUCAUGAGGUUAAAUGAUAUAACCACAAUAGUAAGUGGAGAUACAAAAUAGAGGAAGGCCCAAGAGUGUGCCUUGAGGCACUACCACGGAGAUACUGGAGAAGAGGGAGAACUGAUGAAGAAGACAGGGAAAAUGAACUGAAAAGAAGACAGGGAAAAUGGGAGAAGAGGGAGAACUGACAAAGGAGACAGGGAGAUAUUGGUGAAGAGAGAAAACUGAUAAAGAUGACAGGGAAAUUGAUGAAUGAUCAGCACAUUCAUCUCAAGUGUGGUCCCUCAAACUGAAGGUGAUGGGGAAAAGGUUAAGAGAGGAGAGAAGUUAUUAGGGAACUGAUACACAGGGCAGACUGGAUGUAGAAGGUUCCAUAUUCCUUUCCUGUUGGGACUGAGAGAGAAGACAUGAGUGUGGAUAGGAAACCAUCUUCCUAAAGAUGUGUUAAAUUUAGAACUCUGUAUAUGUUAAAUUAUACACACACACAUUGAUAUAUAUAUAUAAAUUGACUUAAAAAUGUUACUGAAAUCAUCUCAGGCAACAUGCAGCACUUUUUUCAUAUGUGUUCAAUAUAUUUAUAUGUGGAACUUUUAAAGUACUUGUCAAAUUAUUAAUAAAUUACCUUUUCUCUUUGAUGAUAAUUUUAAUAUUAUGCUAAAACCAUUGUCUUUGCAUAAAGAGGACACAUGAUAACUUUCUUCAAUACUUUUUCUCAAGACAUACAUACCUCUUGAAUCAGAUGCCAAUUUAUUCAGACGUAUAACUUAUUCUUUAGUUACUUGUCAGCAAUCAUUGGCAAAUAGACACAAUAGCUGUGAACUGUCUAUUUGUCUUAACUAGGGCUGAUGGGCAAAUUAUUGUCAGUGAGACAAUCAUUGCAUUAUGAGUGUCUUCAAAUGGGAGGUUGAUUUUAUUAUGUGGAUCUAAGUAAUUCCCAAUGAAAAAUGGAGCUCCCAUCUACAUUAAUUUAGAAAUACUCUACAUACUUAGAGAUUAUUAUAGGGAGAAUCUUUCGUGUGUCUUCUUUCCCAGGAGUACAAUCUAAUUAACAAAUCUGAGUCUUUCUUCAGAAAGAGUAAGCAGCUUUGCUUACCAGGGUAGGAGGCGAUGGCAUUGAUGUGGGUGGUCCUGAUGACGCCCACCCGGGGCCCACGGUUGUUUUUCAUGCACAUGCAGAUACAUAUAGCAAUUCCAGCAAUGACCCCCAUGAUGAAUACGAUGCCAAACACUAUGCCAGCAAUGGCUGUGCCCCUAAAAAGGAAAAGCAAAAGCACAUUUAUUGAAAAGACCCAUAAGGAUUCCUCAGCCUUUCGAAUACUGUUCCAUGAUUCUAUGACAGGUGCCCCUUUACAUGCCUUCUUAAGAAUCAUCUUGGAAUUCUUGUCGUGGCGCAGUGGUUAACAAAUCUGACUAGGAACCAUGAGGUUGCGGUUCGAUCCCUGCCCUUGCUCAGUGGGUUAAGGAUCUGGCGUGAGCUGUGGUGUAGGUUGCAGACGCGGCUCGGAUCCAGCAUUGCUGUGGCCCUGGUGUAGGCCAGCAACUUCAGCUCCGAUUAGACCCCUAGCCUGGGAACCUCCAUAUGCCACGGGAGUGGCCCAAGAAAUGGCAAAAAGACAAAAAAAAAAAAA
This 7214-nucleotide long non-coding RNA is filed under the name Sus scrofa (pig). Its description in RNAcentral is "lncRNA (ENSSSCG00015076781.1)". The record is from RNAcentral. Lineage: Eukaryota; Metazoa; Chordata; Mammalia; Artiodactyla; Suidae.